Molecule: ribosomal RNA, 3844 nt
Filed under: Candidatus Omnitrophota bacterium
Lineage: Bacteria; Pseudomonadati; Candidatus Omnitrophota
Description: 23S ribosomal RNA
Rfam family: Bacterial large subunit ribosomal RNA
Source: RNAcentral
GGUCAAGCUACAAAGGGUCUAUGAUGGAUGACUUGGUUAGAUAAGGCGAUGAAGGACGGGGUAAGCACCGAUAUGUUCCGGGUAGCCGCAAACAUGCUUUGAUCCGGAAGAUUCCGAAUGAGGAAACUCAUGCCGAUUUAUAUCGGCAUAUUUCCGCAGCGAAUUCAUAGCUGUGGAAAAGCGAAACUAGGUGAAUUGAAACAUCUAAGUAACCUAAGGAAAAUAAAUCACAGAGAUUCUCUCAGUAGCGGCGAGCGAAGAGGGAAGAGCCUAAACUUGUUUUUCGCAAGAAAAACAAGGGUUGUGGGACCUUAAUGUGGGAUUGUGGACAGAUAGCAGAAGCGCUUGGAAAGGCGCGCCAUAGAGAGUGAAAGCCUCGUAUGCGAAAUCUGGAAGCACCCUAGAGGUAUCCCAAGUAACACGGGACACGGGAAAUCCUGUGUGAAUCCGGGCCGACCACGGUCCAAGGCUAAAUACUAUAUCUAAACCGAUAGUGUACAAGUACCGUGAGGGAAAGUUGAAAAGAACCCCGGUGAGGGGAGUGAAAUAGAACCUAAAAUCAUAGAUCUACAAGCGGUAGUAGGGCUAUGCUUUGACUUUUAGUCAGAGAAUGCCCAACUGCGUACCUUUUGCAUAAUGGUCCGACGAGUUACUGUGCAGUGCGAGCUUAACCUCCGUAAGGGGGGCAGGCGUAGCGAAAGCGAGUCCCAAAUGGGCGAUUAGUACUGUAUAGUAGACCCGAAACUGAGUGAUCUACCCAUGAUCAGCGUGAAGCUUUCCGAAAGGAAAGUGGAGGCGCGAACCCGUCAGCGUUGAAAAACUGUGGGAUGAGUUGUGGGUUGGAGUGAAAGGCUAAACAAACUCAGAAAUUGCUGGUUCUCCCCGAAAUAUUUCUAGGGAUAGCCUCGAGUAAUUAAAUAGUGGGGGUAGAGUGCUGAAUGGGCUACGGGACCUUACCAGGUUGCUGAGCCCAACCAAACUCCGAAUACCACUAUUUUUAUCUCGGGAGUAAGACGCCGGGGGCUAAGCUCCGGCGUCAAAAGGGUAUCAGCCCAGACCAUCAGUUAAGGUCCCUAAGGAUAGGCUAAGUGGUAAAGGAGGUGAUUUCGCCCAGACAACCAGGAUGUUGGCUUAGAGGCAGCCACCAUUUAAAGAGUGCGUAACAGCUCACUGGUCGAGCGAUUUUGCGCCUAAGAUGACCGGGGCUCAAGCCUAUCACCGAAACUAUGGGUUUUUUCCGACGUAAGUCGGGAAAAGCGGUAGGGGAGCGUUGUUUAGUGAGCGAAGCUGUACCGUAAGGAGCAGUGGACGCUAAACAAGUGAUUAUGUCGGAAUAAGUAGCGAAUACGCCUGCGAGAAACAGGCGCGCCGAAAGUCUAAGGUUUCCUGGGGAAGGUUAAUCCGCCCAGGGUUAGUCGGUCCUAAGCUGAGGCCAUAUGGCGUAAGCGAUGGACAAUCCGUUAAUAUUCGGAUACCAAUUAAAUGGCGUUAAAACUUUCUGUAUGACGUGGAAGGAUGGGGGCUGCGCAGUGUUGGAUGUCUGCGUUUUCUCCUGAGCAAUUUGGAGAAGGCACCUGAUCGAAAGUGAUGGGAAGUGUUCUUAAUCCAUGCUGCCAAGAAAAGUACAGUUAAGGAGUCAUUUAAUUGCCCGUACCGUAAUCCGACACAGGUAGACCUCCAGAGAAUGGUAAGGCGCUCGAGAGAACUCUCGUUAAGGAACUCGGCAAAAUUGCCUCGUAACUUCGGGAGAAGAGGUACCCUUGAUUGUAAGAUCAAGGGUCACAGUAAAGUGGCCCGGGUGACUGUUUAGCAAAAACACAGCACUCUGCGAACUCGUAAGAGGAUAUAUAGGGUGUGACACCUGCCCGGUGCUGGAAGGUUAAGGAGAGAGGUUAGUUUGUCGUAAGAUAGACGAAGCUUUGAACCGAAGCCCCAGUAAACGGCGGCCGUAACUAUUGAUUGACCGCAGUAGUUGUAAAAUUUGGCUAUAUGCUGGAAAAUCCUGUUAGGCUGACAGUACUUCUGUUCAUGAAACGGAAUGUGACAAUCUGUCAGAUAGGGAUAAUCAGCAGGAAAGGCCUGAAAGGGGUCUCCAUGAAAGUAGAAAUCGGCUAUUACUUAUCAGGUUUUGCCGACGGUGAAGGAAGUUUUAAUGUUUCCUUCAGACCGCGGCAAGAUUAUAAUCCACCGUGGAAAAUCUCACUUUGUUUCAAUAUUUCCCAGAAAGAUAAAGUUAUUCUUGCUUUAUUUAAACAUCAUUUAGGUUGCGGCACGUUAAGAGGCCGGCCCGAUGGCGUUUGGUAUUAUGAAGUGAAUAAUUUUACAGCGAUUUGGGAAAAAGUAAUACCUUUCUUUAAGAGAUUUAAUUUUCUUUCUGCGAAGAAGAAGCGCGAUUUCGCGAAAUUCUGCGAAAUUGCCAGAAUAAUCAAGGAAGAUGAGCAUCUUAAGGAAGAAGGGAUUAGAAAGAUUAUUGAAAUUAGGCGAGAUAUGAACGAUGGUGGAAAGCGAAAGUAUAGCGAAAUGGAGAUUUUAGGUAAGUUUCAGGAAUCCUCAGAGACUAUACGCCAAACCUCUAAGAAAUUAGAGGAUGAUAUAGUCCGGUCUUCCGAGAAAUCGGAAGUUAACAUUGACGAACGGUCCUAAGGUAGCGAAAUUCCUUGUGGGGUAAGUUCCCACGCGCACGAAUGGUGUAACAACCUGGGCGCUGUCUCAACGAGAGACUCGGCGAAAUUGUAGUGGCGGUGAAGAUGCCGUCUACGCGCAUCAAGACGAAAAGACCCCAGAACCUUUACUGCAACCUGCCAUUGAAUUUUGGUUCACUAUGUGUAGCAUAGGUGGGAGGCUUUGAAGCCAAGGUGCUAGCUUUGGCUGAGCCACAAUGUGAAAUACCACCCUUAUUGCACUAAGAUUCUAACCACUUGCCGUGAAUCCGGCAGCGGGACAGUGACAGGCGGGCAGUUUGACUGGGGCGGUUCCCUUCUAAAGAAUAACGAAGGGGCCCAAAGGUUGGCUCAGGCCGGUCGGCAAUCGGCUGUGGAGUGUAAGCACAAAAGCCAGCUUAACUGUGAGUCCGGCAGGACGAACAGAUACGAAAGUAGGGGCUAGUGAUCCGGUGGUUGAACGUGGAAUUGCCAUCGCUCAACGGAUAAUAGGUACUCUGGGGAUAACAGGCUUAUCGGGCUCGAGAGUUCAUAUCGACAGCCCGGUUUGGCACCUCAAACAUCAAUGGGGUGUUUAAUCGGUAACGAUUAAAUAGUAUUGGCUAAUAACGGUGGAACCCGACGAAUAAGGGCAAUACCGUGGGAAGGCUCUAGUAAAGCUUCGCUGUAAGAAAUUACAGAAAGCAUCUACGGCCCCCGUAACGACUGAAAUACUGCGGAAAUAAAUAACAAGCGCAGUAUUGAGAUAGUUUAUACAAGUGACAUCAUAUAAAUUAUCAUACGCCAACUCCGCGAAAGCGGAUGAAGAUAUAGUCUAAUCCCGUGCGAAAGCGCGGAUAUGAUUGCGAUGUCGGCUCAUCCUAUCCUGGGGCUGUAUAAGGUCCCAAGGGUCCGGCUGUUCGCCGGUUAAAAGGGUACGCGAGCUGGGUUCAGAACGUCGCUCUCUUCAGUACGAGAGGACCUAGAGAGACGGACCUCUGGUGUUCCGGUUGUCCUGCCAAGGGCAAAGGCCGGGUAGCUAUGUCCGGAAGGGAUAAGCGCUGAAAGCAUCUAAGUGCUAAGCCCCUCCCAAGAUUAGGUAUCCCCAUCAGGCUGGUCGUAGACUACGACCUUAAUAGGCGCAAUGUGUAAGGCCCGUAAGGGUUUAAGCUAAUGCGUACUAAUCAGCCGAUUGGCUUGACCUU